This is a non-coding RNA of Cucurbita pepo subsp. pepo (vegetable marrow), 287 nucleotides long. NCBI's taxonomy places the organism in Eukaryota, Viridiplantae, Streptophyta, Magnoliopsida, Cucurbitales, Cucurbitaceae. The record is from RefSeq and is a predicted model, not a curated record.
UACAGUAAAAGUAACAGAUAUCUUCCAGCUGCUUGUGCUGCAUUAUCAGAAGAUGUGAUUGUUUCUUCUUCUCAGUUUGAAGACUUCUCUGUCACUAAAGCUACAAAUAUCAAUGAGAAUAAAGAACUAAAGGUAUGAAAUACGGUGAGUUUUAUUCUUAGAUUCCUUAUAUCUAUAAUCCUCAGAUUACUAUCUUUCAAAUAUUUUGUUUGUAGUUACUUCACUUAGACAUUCAAUUUAGUCUCUAAAAACAAGUCUACUCCUUGCCAUUGAUUAUCCAUUAGUUA